GAGGAUGCGUUUUGGAGGCCACGGGGCGGCGGACGGGUAUAUAUAAUGGCGGGUGAGGAGACUGGUGCAUCAGAUUUUCUGGCACGCCGAGCGAUCAGAUAUGAAGUUCCUUGUUGUGGCAGCAGCGGUGGUGGCGUGCGCUGGCGCUCGCUCCAUCAACUCCGGUUGGGUCCUUCCGGCGGGCAACAUCGGCACCUCGGG
This is a non-coding RNA of Penaeus vannamei (Pacific white shrimp), 201 nucleotides long. The record is from RefSeq and is a predicted model, not a curated record. Lineage: Eukaryota; Metazoa; Arthropoda; Malacostraca; Decapoda; Penaeidae.